AGAACUGAAAGUAAAAUUAAAAAAAGAAAAAGAAGAUAAUUUUUAUGCCAAAGUAACAUAAAAACAACUACCCAGUGUCAGGUGUUUUGUUACAGCAGCCUGAGUGAACUAAGAGAGUGCCCUUUCCUGUAUAAGGGGUGGCUGCAGGGCCCUCCAGGUCAUGGGAAACUUGUUAAUUGUUUAUUUAAUUAAAUUUUUUAGUCUUCAUUUAAACAUCAUGUAGUGCGGAUGCACAGACACACACUCACACACUUAAUUACAAUUGUGAGACAAAUGAAAUAAUAAAGGAAAGUUCUUAGCAAACUCUUCGUGCAUUAUUAGUGCUCAAUAAAUGCUAAAUACUAUGAUUAAUAAUACAUUUUUGUUAUUAACUUGAAAGUCAUUGUGUUGUGGGAAGAAUGGAGUCCUAAUUUAUAAUUUUUUCCCUCCACUUAAAAAAAAUAAUUUAUUGAGCAGACAAGAAUAAGUAAAGACAUCUCAGAAUCAAGCAAAUAUCCCAGCAUGUUCUCGGAAAAAUUAAAACUGCAGUUAAGGGUGCACUUCUAUUUGAUUUAAAAGAAAAUAUAUGUUAAUUUAAUACUUGGUAACUUUGCAAGGUUUAGACUAAACAUUGAACACAAAAAUAGCUUCUGAGAUUCUUAGUCAAAGACAGCUUUGUUGUAAUAGCCUUGUUGAAAUCGGAGUUUAAAACCCACUGCUUUUAGGUCCAGUGGGCAAAACAGCCACAUGUGGAUGUGCAGUCCUUACUGGCAGACACAGGGGAGCUGCUGGGCUGGAAGGUCAUGAAACUGCUUUUAGGUGGACCUGGGAUGCUACUCACCACAAUUCCGGUGGGGUCACUCCUUAAUAACAAGCGGGACCCAAGGAAAUAACCCUGCCAGGUAAAAGAUUGUCUGCCUUUACUUUGUAGGUAAAAAUCCAGAGAGCUCUUUAUCCUCUGGGGAAUGUUCUAGUCUUUCUCCCUCAGGAUACUUGUGUGUGGCAGAGGAUACUGUUCCCACUAAGUGUUUCCACCUGUACAUCCCAGAGCUAAACCCCAUCCUGUUUCAGUUACAGGCUCAAACAAUAAACAUAAACACUUUCUACAUCAGGCUAAUUUAUGGGGUCUGUUUUCCUGGCUUUCCCCAAGAAAUUCCACUCCAAACACAUUGAGAAUGGGAAGAAAAAAAAUCUGUUCUUACAGUCACCAUAAAAAGUAUGCUAUUGAUUUAAGAAAUUUGUGUUUUCUAAAACUAGUGAUUCACGUUUGUGUGUAUAUCACUCUGCCAUCCACAUUUACAAGAACAGUCGGAAUGUUCGUUAGGAAGGACUACACUGGCUUCUUACAGCCAACUGCAGCUUCUUUGUGUGAGUGUUGCUUCUUGAGCUUUAUUAAGUUUUUGUGCCAGUGUACAAAUGGCACAUGUGAGUCUCCACGAAACUAGUUCAUUUUCCAAUUCAUAGCUAGUGUUGUUCCAAUACUGACGCUUAUAAUAAAAGUGUUAAGUAAAUCACCAUUAACCAUUGCCUUAAACAACUGAAUUGAGAAAAGUUUCAUUAAUUUCUCAUUAUUCUUCUUUUACUGUGCACAUGAGCAUGUGAUUUUAAGCUUUCAUAAUAUGCGUGUAUUGUUUAGUAUUACAGACAUUCACAGCUGAAAAGCAACUCAGAGGUUACUUAGUGAGACCUAAUUGUAUUAACUUUACAUAUGAAGAAAUGGAAUCAAGAUGAAAACAUCUUCAAUGGUUUACCCAAGAUUGCAUUGUAUCUCAUGUCAUAAAUUAAUCCAAUCUUUAAAACCCAUCAUUUCUUUUACCCAUCCAUUCAUUUACUAGGUAAGUAUUUGUUGUGCAUCUCCUGUGUGCUAAGCAUCACGCUCUACCGUGGGAAUACAACGAUUAAGACCCAGUCCCCUGCCCACGGAGAGCCCUGUGCGUUUAUGGAUAAGACAGGCAAGAUGGCAGGCAAUGACAGAGUCUUGAGAUAAAGUCACAUGGCUACACCUGGCUGUUCUCUAGACGCCUCAGAAAGAGGAAAUGAUUCAGGCAUUGAGCGUUCUGGGAAGGACUCAUCUGAUUUUUAAUACUUCAUUAUUAAAAUGUUAAGCAACAGAAACAUGCUUUGACUUAGGGAGAUCCAAAAAACCUACAUUUGAUUUCAAAUUCUGCUACAUGCUUGCUCUAUGACCUUAAACAAAUGACUUAGCCUUUCGGAGUUUCCUUAUCUUUAAAUGGGGAUAAUAAUAUGAACCCCAGGAUAUUUGACAAAAUUAUAUAGUAAAUACAGAAUUCUAAGUACUGAAUAAGUAAUUGUUGCUAUUCCAUACACUUAUUUAAAACUUAGCCUCUUGGGAAAAGCAUAUGGUAAAACUCAGGCUUCUUCUACACCCGUGUCUUUCAGGAUGGGGGAGAAAAUGGCAGAGGGGCUCAAACACAAGGCUUAGCCCCCACCUAUUCUGUGCUCUUUCCACCCAAACACAUGGAAUCAAGCUGCCACGGAAGCAGAAGCCUGGGGAGAACAGGAAACAAAAACGCAGAGAUACUGAGUUCACGAGUGACUGCAGUGUUAGAAGAGGUGUGGGGCUGAAUGGGAGUGUGGGGACAUGUUAGAAAAUCGCUCUCAGAGGAGUUACCACAAAGAAAAGCUUUCUUUCUGAUUUUUACAUCCCAUCACUCAAAUUACUGUAACCUACAAAAUUCAUGAAUAUGCACUAGUUCCCCAUUGCACUAGGUAUUUGGUGGGGCAUGAAUUCAGAUUCUGAGAGGUGAAUAAGUCCAACAACACCUUGACUUCUUAA
RNAcentral lists this long non-coding RNA (2776 nucleotides) under Homo sapiens (human). RNAcentral's name for it is "non-protein coding lnc-FOXQ1-23:2". Lineage: Eukaryota; Metazoa; Chordata; Mammalia; Primates; Hominidae. The record is from RNAcentral.